This 540-nucleotide ribosomal RNA is filed under the name Massilia varians. RNAcentral's name for it is "bacterial SSU rRNA". It matches the Rfam family "Bacterial small subunit ribosomal RNA", at positions 527 to 1066 of the family's 1533-position model. The record is from RNAcentral. Lineage: Bacteria; Pseudomonadati; Pseudomonadota; Betaproteobacteria; Burkholderiales; Oxalobacteraceae.
GUAGGGUGCAAGCGUUAAUUGGAAUUACUGGGCGUAAARCRUGCGCAGGCGGYUUUGUAAGUCUGUCGUGAAAGCCCCGGGCUCAACCUGGGAAUUGCGAUGGAGACUGCAAGGCUUGAAUCUGGCAGAGGGGGGUAGAAUUCCACGUGUAGCAGUGAAAUGCGAGAGAUGUGGAGGAACACCGAUGGCGAAGGCAGCCCCCUGGGUCAAGAUUGACGCUCAUGCACGAAAGCGUGGGGAGCAAACAGGAUUAGAUACCCUGGUAGUCCACGCCCUAAACGAUGUSUMCUAGUUGUCGGGUUUUAAUUAACUUGGUAACGCAGCUAACGCGUGAAGUAGACCGCCUGGGGAGUACGGUCGCAAGAUUAAAACUCAAYSGAAUUGACGGGGACCCGCACAAGCGGUGGAUGAUGUGGAUUAAUUCGAUGCAACGCGAAAAACCUUACCUACCCUUGACAUGGAAGGAAUCCUGGAGAGAUCCGGGAGUGCCCGAAAGGGAACCUUCWCACAGGUGCUGCAUGGCUGUCGUCAGCUCGUGUC